This 74-nucleotide transfer RNA is filed under the name Chloroflexota bacterium. RNAcentral's name for it is "Chloroflexi bacterium (sediment metagenome) tRNA-Gln". It matches the Rfam family "tRNA". Rfam says of the family: Transfer RNA (tRNA) molecules are approximately 80 nucleotides in length. Their secondary structure includes four short double-helical elements and three loops (D, anti-codon, and T loops). Lineage: Bacteria; Bacillati; Chloroflexota. The record is from RNAcentral.
UGGGGGCUCGUCCAGUGGUAGGACUGCAGACUUUGGAUCUGCCUACAGAGGUUCGAAUCCUCUGCCCUCAGCCA